GCAUAUCAAUAAGCGGAGGAAAAGAAAACAACUGUGAUUCCCUUAGUAAUGNCGAAUGAAACGGGAAUAGCCCAUCGCGGAACUGCAGGUCAUCUUGGCCUCGUGGAAUGUCGCGUUCGGGAGAGUCUUAUCGAGGAUUGGACGGCCAGUCAAAGUCCAACUUGACUGUGGCCACUGCCCAUAGAGGGUGAUAGGCCCGUAAGGCGGCUGUCCUUUCUCGCCGACUUUUCCCUAGAGUCGGGUUGCUUGGGAGUGCAGCCCAAAGUGUGAGGUAAACUCCUCAUAAGGCUAAAUAUUACGCAGAGACCGAUAGCAAACAAGUACCGUGAGGGAAGAUUGAAAAGAACUUUGAAGAGAGAGUUCAAUAGUACGUGAAACUGUGUGGUGGUAAACGGAGGGGUUCUCGAAGUUUCCGUGGGGAACUCAACCUUGGUGGUCUGCAGCCUUGUCGUAUUUGAUCAGCAAUGACUUUUCGGCUUGUCCUGCUCUCCUCUCGGGUGCAUUUCCCCCGCGGUUCACGACAGGAACCGUUUGGCUUGAACCGAAGGGCUUGGGUGAAGUUGUUGGUUCUGCUGGCAGCCCCUUGUUCCUGGCUUCACGCCAGACGGGUACGGGAGAGGACUCGUAUAUCGAGCAAUGCUCUGUUGCCGUUCUCAUCUCUCUGUCGAGUAGGUCGGUGGCCCCUCCGACCCGUCUUGAAACACGGACC
RNAcentral lists this ribosomal RNA (709 nucleotides) under Eucalanus bungii. RNAcentral describes it as "eukaryotic LSU rRNA". It matches the Rfam family "Eukaryotic large subunit ribosomal RNA", at positions 38 to 667 of the family's 3401-position model. Lineage: Eukaryota; Metazoa; Arthropoda; Copepoda; Calanoida; Eucalanidae. The record is from RNAcentral.